Dipodomys ordii (Ord's kangaroo rat) is the source of this 70-nucleotide non-coding RNA. The record is from Rfam. NCBI's taxonomy places the organism in Eukaryota, Metazoa, Chordata, Mammalia, Rodentia, Heteromyidae.
GGGAAGGUAGCUCAGUGGUAGAGUGCUUGCCUCGCAUGCAUGAGGUCCUGGGUUUGAUUCCUCAGCACCA